Molecule: long non-coding RNA, 2068 nt
Filed under: Drosophila guanche
Lineage: Eukaryota; Metazoa; Arthropoda; Insecta; Diptera; Drosophilidae
Source: RNAcentral
AUUAGUACCAAGGUGAUGGAUUUGUACGGUGAGGCGUGUAGCUGCUUUUGUUUUUUUUGCGAAAAUCUUGUUUUGGGAUUCGCCGAAAAAUAGGCACUGCUAGGAGUACAAAUACGGGCAUACGAGAAUGCAGAGACAAGUUCAUCAAAAGGAGAGCGAGUUCGAAGGAAAAUUUCGAAUAGACAUAGGCUUUAAAUAGAGGUCGGCAGGGCGCCAUUAGGCAUUUUCGAUCUGUAUCGCUAUCAACUAAAAGAGUUUCAGAGGCCAAGAAAGUUUUUUUCCAUGUGUAUAAGUGCAGUUUAAGUUAAAUUUACACCGCCAAAUUGGACCACCAUGCUAGACCAACUAUCCUGCGAGAGCCGCAAGGCAUCGAUUAGGUAAGGGAAGUGGGGGUGAAAAACAAUAAGAAAAGGCGAUACUGAUACUGAACAUUUGCCCACCUUUAUGCAUAUGUACGACUAGAUAAGCAUUAGAGGAGGCUCGCCCGCUAUAAGUACCAGCUGGAGUGACAAAAAACCGGCACAUAAGUAAGCCAUAGCGGAGACUCGGCCCUUUGAAUUUGUCAGCUGGAGCGACAGAGAGUUUCGCCGGAGCUUUUGCCGCCGCUAAGCAUGCAAGCAAGCAAGCGAGAGGGAAGACGGCGCACAGUACCAGGCAGACGGCGGCCACUUAAAACAGCGCCACGUUGCUUACGCGGAGUAAUUAAAACCCCGAUAGGGAGGGGAGGGGAAUAAACGAAUUAUUUAAAUCAAAAUUACAGCCCAACCCACUAAAUAAGUGAAAAGAAUGUUAUAGAAAAAAUGAGAGAAAAACACCCUCCACUAACGUUUAAAAAUGUAUAAUUAUAGUCUAAAAAUCUUUAUUUAAAUGGUUAGGUACUUUUAGUUUUCUAUUUCUAUUCUAUCUCUUCCUACCUUCCUUUAAAAGUUUAAAAGCGAUCGACGUUAAGUGAACAGAUGGCAUAGAGAGAAAAAAAAUUGUGACAUGCAAAAGUGGAAAAGAAAGAAACGAACAAAUGUUAUUGCACUGAUUUACCGCAAGACGGAUUUUGUCUGUGCAUAAUUGUGUGUGGUGGGGCUGAGUGUUCUUUUUAUACCCGGUACUCGAAGAGUAAAUAGGGUAUAUUGUAUUUGUGGGGAAUAACGGUUGUACGUAACGCACAGAAGGAAAUGUUUCCGACCCCUUAAGUAUAUAUAUUCUUGAUCAGCAUCAAUGGCCGAGUCGAUAGAGCCAUGUCUGUCUGUCCGUCUGUCCGUCUUGUUUGUCGGCUAGUUCUCUCAAAGACUAUAAGAGCUAGGACCACCAUAUUUUGGCUCCGGACUGCUGUAUGCUGACACUGGAACCAGUGUAUUUCAAAAAUGAGCUACGCCCCCUUUCGCCCCCGCAAAAGGGCGAAAACCUCCCAAAUCUACAGUUUUGAAGAUAAAAGAAAACUAAAAACGCCAUUCCGUAGGAAAUGGCCAUAUCUAUCAGAUCACCAAAUUGGGAUCUGAUCGGAUCAUUAUUAUAGCCACAAUGGAGAAAUUAAUUUGCAGUGGCUAAACCCACCCUGUCCCGCAGCUUUUGUUGUUCUUUUUACAUUCUCUCAUUCACACUCUGCUUCUGCUUCACUCGGCCCCUGCCUUUGCCGUCCCUCUGCCAAUUUCUCUACCGACUUUUAACCCACCCCGUCCCGCAGCUUGAAUUUGUUUUUUUUUUGUGUGCGGGCGCUGCCUCUGCUUCUGCAGCGAGUAAGCAGUAUGUGUGUCUAGGGAAGGGCGGCGAGCGUGUUGGUGUGAGAAGUGUUGUAGAUGUAGAUGACAGAUGAAGAAAAAAUUUAAAAUUUGACAAAACACAUCUGAGGUGCAGAUGCACUAUUGUCCCAAUGACCAGUUUUGGUGGCUGUUUACGCGGAAUUAGCGCAAAGGGCUUAUGGCCGGGAGCAAUUAGUAUUUGGUAUAAUUAAAAUUAGUUUGUAGCAUUAAGAUAUUAAAUUGUUGCAUUUACGACAUACUCACAGAAGUUUGUUUCUAUAGAACAUAUAUGUAAUAUGUGAAUACGGUAGAGAAAGAGGAAGAACAUGCAUAGG